This 2204-nucleotide long non-coding RNA is filed under the name Mus musculus (house mouse). RNAcentral's name for it is "long non-coding RNA chr17:12792892-12795096". The record is from RNAcentral. Lineage: Eukaryota; Metazoa; Chordata; Mammalia; Rodentia; Muridae.
GGUGGCUCAAGGGAAUCCUCUUUCUGAUCCACUUUUCUUCCGUCCCACCAGCUCACUCAUCCCUUCCUCCAUUUUGACACGUUUACAGUUCUUAUCUCCAUCAGCUGUGUCUCAGGCUUGCCACACAACAGUGUAGACGCUCAGAUAAGUCAUCCUGGUACCCAGCAAGACCUUGGAAGAACAGUCCUAAGCAGGAUGCAAAAGUAAACUUUUCCCCCGUUGGAUUGAUUCAAUCCUGGUAUUUUUCUGAAGUAAAAAUAAAAACAAAAACAAAACAACAACAACAAAAAAAAAACCAAACCAAAACAAAACAAAAAAAACCUAAACCCUGAAUGGCAUACCUUGCUAUUGUGAGAGUCCGUGGACUUUGUUCAUCGCUUCAGGCAGAAAAUUCUCUUUUUUUCCAUAUUGUUCACCAUCUUGCCUUUGGGAUUUUUUUUUUUUUUUUUUGAUAGAGUCUCAAGUAACCUGAACUGGCCUCAAACUUGCUAUGUAGUAAGAGGUACCUCGAACCUCUAACCUCCUGUCUCCACUUCCCAAGUGCUGACAUUAUAGGCAUGUACCACCAUUCCUGGUUUAUGUGGUACAUGCAAGCCUGGUCAGCACUCUUCCAAUUAAACUUUACCCAUAAUCCUUAUAAUACAUUCUUCUGGUUGGGUCUACAUGAGUUCGGCCUGUCUUCAUUCCUCUUAAAAAUGAUUUCCUCAACAAGCAAGGGUGGAAUAGUUCCACCACAACAGACCUAUAGACAGUUUCAUGGGGGGAAAAGAAAGACAAUGUUCUAUUGUUUUUUUUUUUUAAAAUAACUAUUCAUUGACUAUGUGUGUGAGCCUCUGGGGGGUUAUGAGCACCAACCACCUUUGCACAGUGACCAUAGAAGCCAGAAGGGGGCUUCAGAGCUCCUGGAAAUGGAGUUGCAAGCCACUGAGAGGCACUGCAUAGGUCCUGGGAAGCUAAUGUGCACACCCUCUACAAAGGCAGCAAGUGUUCGCAGCUGCUGAGCCAUCUCUCCAUCCCCAAGAUUUUUUUUUUUUUUUUUUUUUUGAAAUCGCUAUGUACUAAAUGGUUCCUGCAAGCAGCUAUUGCCGAUUGCCACUUUGCUCUGCACCUGGGAGCUGCAUUUGACUGUUUAAGUGGUUCUGUCCCGGAGCUGCUGAAAUGCCCAGUGGAACCACAAGCACUCCUUCAGACUUCCUGUUUCCCAAGAGCAGGCAACAGGGGUGUCGAUUACAGCUCGUGCAGGCCUGGGGCAGGGAGGCCCACAUGUCCUGUGUGUUUUCUAUCUGCAGGCUCCGUACAGAUGGUGAGGUUGUUCCCACAGCAAAUCUGCCACCAAAGGGGAUAGGAAAUCUUGGCAGGAAGCUCUCUCAAGCACCAGGGGAGAGUCUCCCAGUGACCUUGGCCUCCACCCAACCCUUUCUCACUACUAAAUGAGGAAAGCAUCUUGAACAGAUUCUGCCAAGACUGAUGGGACUUGGGCCUUUCUCAGCGCUGGAAUGUUAGGUGAAAGCAAGCAGACACAUGUUAACAACUAGACACAAAACAGCUUCGAUACUAUUCAAUCACAACAAGGGAGCCCUCUUCCUGGAGGCUCCUAGCCACGUAGGAGAGAGACCAGCUUUCCUGGGUGUGUUCGCCCGAAGGCAUUCGCUUUCUCUGGCAAGAUCUUACGGUUAACCAAGAUUUCCAUGGAGUGAGCAGUCCUUGGCAGAAGAAAAACAGAAGCAAGACCACAAAAUAUUGAAAAGACUCCUGAGGCUGGCGUGGAGUUAAUAAUCACUUGUACAAACGGGCGGAACUGGUCUCAAUGGGGCCCAGAAGCAAUGGAUGUAGGGGUAUAUGAUGUGGCAUCGCGGGGUUCGCACAGGCAAGGAAAAAUAUCAGCGGUCUAUUCUUUUCCAUCUCCGAGGCCACCCUCAGGAUAGCUGCUUGAUGGUCUUUGCCUCCAGACCAGGCCUCCCCCAGCCACUGGAGAUGCCUCAGGAGGUCUGACCCACUUAGAGCUGGAGGUGUAGGGCUGGAGAGAUAGCUCAGAAGUUAAGAGCACUGACUGUUCUUCAUAAGGUCCUGAGUUCAAAUCCCAGCAACCACAUGGUGGCUCACAACCAUCCAUAACGAGAUCUGACACUCUCUUCUGGUGUGUCUGAAAACAGCUACAGUGUACUUACAUAUAAUAAAUAAAUAAGUCUUUUAAAAAAAUAAGG